This is a long non-coding RNA of Asparagus officinalis (garden asparagus), 414 nucleotides long. RefSeq lists it as uncharacterized. The record is from RefSeq and is a predicted model, not a curated record. The transcript is spliced from 3 exons. NCBI's taxonomy places the organism in Eukaryota, Viridiplantae, Streptophyta, Magnoliopsida, Asparagales, Asparagaceae.
UUUUUCCGCCGCAUGCAUCCGCCGCUCACCAAAAAAAAAAAAGUUAAGAUCUGCACUGAGAAAGUGGGCGGUUAUUAUUAACACAAUAACAAGAAAUUCCAAGGGACUUCGAGGAGGCGUCGUGAUUGGUAUUCCGAUAGUCUUUCGGAUUUGAAGACUCAGGAUUAGGUGGAAUUGAGGAUUUGCCAAAUUCUUAGAACGAAGCAAAGAAUAUAAUUCGAGUUUGUUAUUGUCUUCUAGGCGAAGGUUAAAUAAAGUCUUUAAUGUUUAGUUUGAUGAAUUGAGAGUUUUGUAAUAAUGAGAAUUCUUUCUUUAGGUUGAGAUUUAUUUCGAGUUGAGGAAUAUUUAUUUUUAUCAAGUUAAUUGGCUUAGUUUGACUUUUGGGAUUAUAGAGAAUAUUUGUUGUUGGUUUUA